Molecule: ribosomal RNA, 253 nt
Filed under: uncultured bacterium
Lineage: Bacteria
Description: partial 16S ribosomal RNA
Rfam family: Bacterial small subunit ribosomal RNA
Source: RNAcentral
UACGAAGGGGGCUAGCGUUGUUCGGAAUUACUGGGCGUAAAGCGCACGUAGGCGGAUUUGUAAGUCAGGGGUGAAAUCCCGGAGCUCAACUUCGGAACUGCCUUUGAUACUGCAAGUCUCGAGUCCGGAAGAGGUGAGUGGAACUCCUAGUGUAGAGGUGAAAUUCGUAGAUAUUAGGAAGAACACCAGUGGCGAAGGCGGCUCACUGGUCCGGUACUGACGCUGAGGUGCGAAAGCGUGGGGAGCAAACAGG